GUGCCUCGUCAUCACACGCUGACUGUAAUUGCUUUUGAACAGGUCUCUUUCCGAAGCCAAAUGCCACCGCAAAUUCAUCAUUGGACGAUGGUGGCCUUCUUACAUACAUGGGAAAUUUACCCGAUAAUGGCGAGAACAAGUUGUGGUUUCUACCGCCUGUUGUUUGUUUCGUCCACUAUUUUCUCCUCCAUUCAAUAUUGUCAUGUGGCUGUUUAUUGAAAUUUUAAGUCCAGGAGGGUAACUCUUUGCCAUUGAUUUGACAAAUAAAUGUUCAAUGUUGUCUCUGCACAGAGUGAUCGAAGAUGUGGAUGAAUUUCCGUUUCACUGUCACCCAUGUGUUCAUGAGGAUCUGCUAUUCAUAGUUUCCCAUGGUGCACUCCGUUGCUCAGUGCCAACUGUCGAAUCAAAUUGCUUGCAGCUAAAUGGGAGGGUUUCAGUCAUUGUCUGCACUGGGGUGUGGAACUAAUUCAUGCAAACGGACCUUCGAGCAGAAUCAAUCUUGUUUGGACGUUUGCUAAGAAGGAUUUGCAGUCUAAUGAACAUGCAUUUUGCGUACAGCACAGUAUACUUGCUCACUGUUCAUACCUGCCAUUGGCAGCACUAAUAUGUGUGGAACGCUAGCCCUGUUGCCUUGCCUGCAGUGAUAGAGGUAUGGAAAACAUUUUGGAUUGAUGUUAUGUCUUGGUUUUGAAUGUCUUCUGCAUGCAGAUACAAACAGCCUGUGAAUUGUAGAUUAUGCUGAAUAUACUUUUGAAGAGCUAAUUUUUGCAUUUUCUUGUACUACGUCCAUUUGACGUGCUAGUACUACAUAACUGGACUAAUAGACUUGCCUGUAGGCCCCUGAUAGUUUCUUCUGAUAUACGUGCAGCAAUACAGCAAUACAGGUGCUCAGAUGAAAUACCUUUUCAUCUUGACUUGUAUCUUAUUUUGUGUAACUGUGCUUUUGUACGCUUGUGCUUGCUAGUUCCAGCUUAACUGUCUUGGUUUCGAAUGCCUUCUUUUGCAUGCUUACAAUAAACAGCAUCUGCAUUUUAGAUUAUGGUGUAACUGUUAGUUCUCCCAAAUACACAUUGGGAGAAUCUUGCUGGAAAUAACCAUGUUAUAUGAUAAAAUUAUUCUCUGUUGAGUGAAACAGAAGGAAGACAAAUUUCAGUGUAAUUAGAAUGAAUUGUAACGAUUUAGUUGUACUGUGCCAAAGUCGUUAUUCGGUGCUGCAGGGCCAAGUUCUUUCAAUAGAGCUCCAAACCUUUUAGGAACUGGGGCUUUCUGUUCGCCUUCCUUGGCUAGACGCACUUCAGAACUUCUAAUCUGCAUCAAGCUUGAACAUGGUGUUUUCUACUCCAAUUUCUUGGUGCUUGGAAGAAGCAUCUGCUCCCUUAAAGCGUAUGCUUACCACAACUGUUCCUUAACAGGUCUCUUUCUGAAGCCAGUUACACCACGACCCCUUAUACUCUGGACAACGGUGGCCUUACUUGUAGACUUGGGACAUUUGCAGAAAAGUUCUGACUGUGACCGCCCCUGUUGUUUCUUGGGUAAAUUCUCUUCUUCUCCAUUCAGUGUUGAGACGUAACUAUUUAUUCGAUAUUUCUACAUGCAGAAGUAGUCAUUAAUUGGUGAACCUGCCGAGUUCUUCCUGUGCAGUCUAGGUAAGUUCAUGGAAGCAGUGAAUUAAAAUGUACAGUGUUAUGUUGUGUGAGUUCACUCUUGAUCGUUCCCCUUGUACCCUGUCCAACAUUGCCUGGCAUGGUGUGCUAGAUCCUGUAGCAGAAUUUCUGGACGUC
Brachypodium distachyon (stiff brome) is the source of this 1781-nucleotide long non-coding RNA. RefSeq lists it as uncharacterized. The record is from RefSeq and is a predicted model, not a curated record. Lineage: Eukaryota; Viridiplantae; Streptophyta; Magnoliopsida; Poales; Poaceae. The transcript has 2 exons.